RNAcentral lists this transfer RNA (65 nucleotides) under Chondrodactylus angulifer. RNAcentral describes it as "tRNA-Cys". The record is from RNAcentral. Lineage: Eukaryota; Metazoa; Chordata; Lepidosauria; Squamata; Gekkonidae.
AAGCCCCGGCACCUCUAAUGGGUGCUUCUUCGAGUUUGCAUCUCGCUGUGCGUCUAGCCGCGGGG